ACGCACGCUGGCGGCGUGCUUAACCCAUGCAAGUCGAACGGAAAGGCCCUGCUUUUGUGGGGUGCUCGAGUGGCGAACGGGUGAGUAACGCGUGAGUAACCUGCCCUUGACUUUGGGAUAACUUCAGGAAACUGGGGCUAAUACCGGAUAGGAGCUCCUGCUGCAUGGUGGGGGUUGGAAAGUUUCGGCGGUUGGGGAUGGACUCGCGGCUUAUCAGCUUGUUGGUGGGGUAGUGGCUUACCAAGGCUUUGACGGGUAGCCGGCCUGAGAGGGUGACCGGCCACAUUGGGACUGAGAUACGGCCCAGACUCCUACGGGAGGCAGCAGUGGGGAAUAUUGCACAAUGGGCGGAAGCCUGAUGCAGCAACGCCGCGUGCGGGAUGACGGCCUUCGGGUUGUAAACCGCUUUCGCCUGUGACGAAGCGUGAGUGACGGUAAUGGGUAAAGAAGCACCGGCUAACUACGUG
This 467-nucleotide ribosomal RNA is filed under the name uncultured bacterium. RNAcentral describes it as "partial 16S ribosomal RNA". It matches the Rfam family "Bacterial small subunit ribosomal RNA", at positions 29 to 507 of the family's 1533-position model. The record is from RNAcentral.